ACGCUGGCGGUAGGCCUAACACAUGCAAGUCGAACGGCAGCACAGGAGAGCUUGCUCUCUGGGUGGCGAGUGGCGGACGGGUGAGGAAUACAUCGGAAUCUACUUUUUCGUGGGGGAUAACGUAGGGAAACUUACGCUAAUACCGCAUACGACCUACGGGUGAAAGCAGGGGAUCUUCGGACCUUGCGCGAUUGAAUGAGCCGAUGUCGGAUUAUCUAGUUGGCGGGGUAAAGGCCCACCAAGGCGACAAUCCGUAGCUGGUCUGAGAGGAUGAUCAGCCACACUGGAACUGAGACACGGUCCACACUCCUACGGGAGGCAGCAGUGGGGAAUAUUGGACAAUGGGCGCAAGCCUGAUCCAGCCAUACCGCGUGGGUGAAGAAGGCCUUCGGGUUGUAAAGCCCUUUUGUUGGGAAAGAAAUCCAGCUGGUUAAUACCCGGUUGGGAUGACGGUACCCAAAGAAUAAGCACCGGCUAACUUCGUGCCAGCAGCCGCGGUAAUACGAAGGGUGCACGCGUUACUCGGAAUUACUGGGCGUAAAGCGUGCGUAGGUGGUCGUUUAAGUCCGUUGUGAAAGCCCUGGGCUCAACCUGGGAACUGCAGUGGAUACUGGGCGACUAGAAUGUGGUAGAGG
This 635-nucleotide ribosomal RNA is filed under the name Stenotrophomonas sp. 202(2010). RNAcentral's name for it is "bacterial SSU rRNA". It matches the Rfam family "Bacterial small subunit ribosomal RNA", at positions 33 to 657 of the family's 1533-position model. The record is from RNAcentral. Lineage: Bacteria; Pseudomonadati; Pseudomonadota; Gammaproteobacteria; Lysobacterales; Lysobacteraceae.